GGGGUUCUGACUGCUUAUUGCACCACAUGUGUUUUUCUUUGAAACAAACUUGCUUUGGCGGUGGGCCCAGCCUGCCGCCAGAGGUCUAAACUUACAACCAAUUUUUUAUCAACUUGUCACACCAGAUUAUUACUAAUAGUCAAAACUUUCAACAACGGAUCUCUUGGUUCUCGCAUCGAUGAAGAACGCAGCGAAAUGCGAUACGUAAUAUGAAUUGCAGAUAUUCGUGAAUCAUCGAAUCUUUGAACGCACAUUGCGCCCUCUGGUAUUCCGGAGGGCAUGCCUGUUUGAGCGUCGUUUCUCCCUCAAACCGCUGGGUUUGGUGUUGAGCAAUACGACUUGGGUUUGCUUGAAAGACGGUAGUGGUAAGGCGGGAUCGCUUUGACAAUGGCUUAGGUCUAACCAAAAACAUUGCUUGCGGCGGCAACGUCUACCACGUAUAUCUUCAAACUUUGACCUCAAAUCAGGUAGGACUACCCGCUGAACUUAAGCAUAUCAAUAAGCGGAGGAA
This 511-nucleotide ribosomal RNA is filed under the name Candida albicans. RNAcentral describes it as "eukaryotic LSU rRNA". The stretch from base 144 to 297 matches the Rfam family "5.8S ribosomal RNA". Lineage: Eukaryota; Fungi; Ascomycota; Pichiomycetes; Serinales; Debaryomycetaceae. The record is from RNAcentral.